CGGGGGGAGCAAGCGUUGUUCGGAUUUACUGGGCGUAAAGGGCGCGUAGGCGGCGCAACAAGUCACUUGUGAAAUCUCCGGGCUUAACCCGGAGCGGCCAAGUGAUACUGUCGUGCUAGAGUGCGGAAGGGGCUACUGGAAUUCUCGGUGUAGCGGUGAAAUGCGUAGAUAUCGAGAGGAACACCUGCGGCGAAGGCGGGUAGCUGGGCCGACACUGACGCUGAGGCGCGAAAGCCAGGGGAGCGAACGGGAUUAGAUACCCCGGUAGUCCUGGCCUUAAACGAUGGAUGCUUGGUGUCCGAGGUUACAUAGUCCUCGGGUGCCGGCGCUAACGCAUUAAGCAUCCCGCCUGGGGAGUACGGUCGCAAGACUG
RNAcentral lists this ribosomal RNA (373 nucleotides) under uncultured organism. Its description in RNAcentral is "bacterial SSU rRNA". It matches the Rfam family "Bacterial small subunit ribosomal RNA", at positions 526 to 896 of the family's 1533-position model. The record is from RNAcentral.